GACGAACGCUGGCGGCGUGCUUAACACAUGCAAGUCGAACGGAAAGGCCUCUUUCGGGGGGUACUCGAGUGGCGAACGGGUGAGUAACACGUGAGUAACCUGCCCUUGACUUUGGGAUAACUUCAGGAAACUGGGGCUAAUACCGGAUAGGAGCUCCUGCUGCAUGGUGGGGGUUGGAAAGUUUCGGCGGUUGGGGAUGGACUCGCGGCUUAUCAGCUUGUUGGUGGGGUAGUGGCUUACCAAGGCUUUGACGGGUAGCCGGCCUGAGAGGGUGACCGGCCGUAUUGGGACUGAGAGACGGCCCAGACUCCGACUGGAGGCAGCAGUGGGGAAGAUUGAACAAGGGGUGGAGGCCGGAUGCAGCAACGCCGUGUGCGGGAUGACGGCCUUCGGGUUGUAAACCGCUUUCGCUCAUGACGAAGCUUUGUGUGACGGUAGUGGGUAAAGAAGCACCGGCUAACUACGUG
RNAcentral lists this ribosomal RNA (467 nucleotides) under uncultured bacterium. RNAcentral's name for it is "partial 16S ribosomal RNA". It matches the Rfam family "Bacterial small subunit ribosomal RNA", at positions 28 to 507 of the family's 1533-position model. The record is from RNAcentral.